Molecule: ribosomal RNA, 330 nt
Filed under: Oreobates cruralis (La Paz robber frog)
Lineage: Eukaryota; Metazoa; Chordata; Amphibia; Anura; Strabomantidae
Description: partial 12S ribosomal RNA
Source: RNAcentral
ACGAGCUACGCUUAAAACCCAAAGGACUUGACGGUACCCCAUAUCCCCCUAGAGGAGCCUGUCCCAGAAUCGAUGAUCCCCGUUUAACCUCACCACUUUUAGCCUAUCAGCCUGUAUACUUCCGUCGUCAGUUUACCGCGUGAGCGCUUCUUAGUAAACCUAAUGUCUUACCAUCAAUACGUCAGGUCAAAGUGCAGCAAAUAAAGUGGGAGAGAGAUGGGCUACACUUUCUACAAUAGAAAACACGAAAGAUUAAUGUGAAACCUCAAUCAGAAGGCGGAUUUAGUAGUAAAAAGAAACUAGAGUAUCCUUUUUAACUUGGCCCUGGGG